UGGUGGAGCGAUUUGUCUGGUCAAUUCCGAUAACGAACGAGACUCUAGCCUACUAAAUAGUUCGGGGGACCCCCCACAAGGCCGGGCCCGUCUACUACUU
This 100-nucleotide ribosomal RNA is filed under the name uncultured eukaryote. Its description in RNAcentral is "partial 18S ribosomal RNA". The record is from RNAcentral.